This 235-nucleotide ribosomal RNA is filed under the name Alexandrium margalefii. Its description in RNAcentral is "partial Bacterial small subunit ribosomal RNA". It matches the Rfam family "Bacterial small subunit ribosomal RNA", at positions 1211 to 1475 of the family's 1533-position model. The record is from RNAcentral. Lineage: Eukaryota; Dinophyceae; Gonyaulacales; Pyrocystaceae.
GGGCUACACACGUGCUACAAUGGCAUCUACAGUGGGUUAAUCCCCAAAAGAUGUCUCAGUUCGGAUUGUUCUCUGCAACUCGAGAGCAUGAAGUCGGAAUCGCUAGUAAUCGCGUAUCAGCAAUGACGCGGUGAAUACGUUCCCGGACCUUGUACACACCGCCCGUCAAGCCAUGGGAAUUGGGAGGACCUGAAGACGGUUGCCGCAAGGCGCUGUUUAGGGUUAAACCAGUGAC